This 253-nucleotide ribosomal RNA is filed under the name uncultured bacterium. RNAcentral's name for it is "partial 16S ribosomal RNA". It matches the Rfam family "Bacterial small subunit ribosomal RNA", at positions 524 to 776 of the family's 1533-position model. The record is from RNAcentral.
UACGUAGGGUGCGAGCGUUAAUCGGAAUUACUGGGCGUAAAGCGCGCGUAGGCGGUUUUUUAAGUCAGAUGUGAAAGCCCCGGGCUCAACCUGGGAAUGGCAUUUGAAACUGGGGAACUAGAGUGUGUGAGAGGGGGGUAGAAUUCCAAGUGUAGCGGUGAAAUGCGUAGAGAUUUGGAGGAAUACCAGUGGCGAAGGCGGCCCCCUGGCACAAUACUGACGCUGAGGUGCGAAAGCGUGGGGAGCAAACAGG